UGGGGAAUCUUGCACAAUGGGGGCAACCCUGAUGCAGCGACGCCGCGUGAGCGAUGAAGCCCUUCGGGGCGUAAAGCUCUUUCGACCGGAACGAUAAUGACGGUACCGGGAGAAGAAGCUGCGGCUAACUACGUGCCAGCAGCCGCGGUAAUACGUAGGCAGCAAGCGUUGUUCGGAGUUACUGGGCGUAAAGAGUGCGUAGGCGGUUUUCUAAGUUCGGUGUGAAAUCUCCCGGCUUAACUGGGAGGGUGCGCCGAAGACUGGGAAGCAGGAGUGUUGGAAAGGCAGGCGGAAUUCCUGGUGUAGCGGUGAAAUGCGUAGAUAUCAGGAGGAACACCGGCGGUGUAGACGGCCUGCUAGACCAUAACUGACGCUGAGGCACGAAAGCGUGGGUAGCAAACA
RNAcentral lists this ribosomal RNA (402 nucleotides) under uncultured bacterium. Its description in RNAcentral is "bacterial SSU rRNA". It matches the Rfam family "Bacterial small subunit ribosomal RNA", at positions 355 to 774 of the family's 1533-position model. The record is from RNAcentral.